AUUGAACGCUGGCGGCAUGCUUUACACAUGCAAGUCGAACGGUAACAGGCCGCAAGGUGCUGACGAGUGGCGAACGGGUGAGUAAUGCAUCGGAACGUGCCCAGUCGUGGGGGAUAACGCAGCGAAAGCUGCGCUAAUACCGCAUACGAUCUAUGGAAGAAAGCGGGGGACCGUAAGGCCUCGAGCGAUUGGAGCGGCCGAUGUCAGAUUAGGUAGUUGGUGGGGGAAAGGCUAACCAAGCCAACGAUCUGUAGCUGGUCUGAGAGGACGACCAGCCACACUGGGACUGAGACACGGCCCAGACUCCUACGGGAGGCAGCAGUAGGGAAUUUUGGACAAUGGGCGCAAGCCUGAUCCAGCAAUGCCGCGUGCAGGAAGAAGGCCUUCGGGUUGUAAACUGCUUUUGUACGGAACGAAACGGUCCGGGUUAAUACCCCGGGCUAAUGACGGUACCGUAAGAAUAAGCACCGGCUAACUACGUGCCAGCCGCCGCCGUAA
This 498-nucleotide ribosomal RNA is filed under the name uncultured bacterium. RNAcentral describes it as "partial 16S ribosomal RNA". It matches the Rfam family "Bacterial small subunit ribosomal RNA", at positions 29 to 523 of the family's 1533-position model. The record is from RNAcentral.